UAUUACAGCAGCAGUAAUGCCAAAAUCUCU
This 30-nucleotide non-coding RNA is filed under the name Mus musculus (house mouse). Lineage: Eukaryota; Metazoa; Chordata; Mammalia; Rodentia; Muridae. The record is from RNAcentral.